RNAcentral lists this ribosomal RNA (1106 nucleotides) under Bacillus sp. (in: firmicutes). RNAcentral describes it as "bacterial SSU rRNA". It matches the Rfam family "Bacterial small subunit ribosomal RNA", at positions 202 to 1296 of the family's 1533-position model. Lineage: Bacteria; Bacillati; Bacillota; Bacilli; Caryophanales; Bacillaceae. The record is from RNAcentral.
AAAGGUGGCUUCGGCUACCACUUACAGAUGGACCCGCGGCGCAUUAGCUAGUUGGUGAGGUAAUGGCUCACCAAGGCAACGAUGCGUAGCCAACCUGAGAGGGUGAUCGGCCACACUGGGACUGAGACACGGCCCAGACUCCUACGGGAGGCAGCAGUAGGGAAUCUUCCGCAAUGGACGAAAGUCUGACGGAGCAACGCCGCGUGAGUGAUGAAGGUUUUCGGAUCGUAAAGCUCUGUUGUUAGGGAAGAACAAGUGCCGUUCAAAUAGGGCGGCACCUUGACGGUACCUAACCAGAAAGCCACGGCUAACUACGUGCCAGCAGCCGCGGUAAUACGUAGGUGGCAAGCGUUGUCCGGAAUUAUUGGGCGUAAAGGGCUCGCAGGCGGUUUCUUAAGUCUGAUGUGAAAGCCCCCGGCUCAACCGGGGAGGGUCAUUGGAAACUGGGGAACUUGAGUGCAGAAGAGGAGAGUGGAAUUCCACGUGUAGCGGUGAAAUGCGUAGAGAUGUGGAGGAACACCAGUGGCGAAGGCGACUCUCUGGUCUGUAACUGACGCUGAGGAGCGAAAGCGUGGGGAGCGAACAGGAUUAGAUACCCUGGUAGUCCACGCCGUAAACGAUGAGUGCUAAGUGUUAGGGGGUUUCCGCCCCUUAGUGCUGCAGCUAACGCAUUAAGCACUCCGCCUGGGGAGUACGGUCGCAAGACUGAAACUCAAAGGAAUUGACGGGGGCCCGCACAAGCGGUGGAGCAUGUGGUUUAAUUCGAAGCAACGCGAAGAACCUUACCAGGUCUUGACAUCCUCUGACACCCCUAGAGAUAGGGCUUCCCCUUCGGGGGCAGAGUGACAGGUGGUGCAUGGUUGUCGUCAGCUCGUGUCGUGAGAUGUUGGGUUAAGUCCCGCAACGAGCGCAACCCUUGAUCUUAGUUGCCAGCAUUCAGUUGGGCACUCUAAGGUGACUGCCGGUGACAAACCGGAGGAAGGUGGGGAUGACGUCAAAUCAUCAUGCCCCUUAUGACCUGGGCUACACACGUGCUACAAUGGACAGAACAAAGGGCAGCGAGACCGCGAGGUUAAGCCAAUCCCACAAAUCUGUUCUCAGUUCGG